GACGAACGCUGGCGGCGUGCUUAACACAUGCCAGUCGAACGGAAAGGCCCUGCUUUUGUGGGGUGCUCGAGUGGCGAACGGGUGAGUAACACGUGAGUAACCUGCCCUUGACUUUGGGAUAACUUCAGGAAACUGGGGCUAAUACCGGAUAGGAGCUCCUGCUGCAUGGUGGGGGUUGGAAAGUUUCGGCGGUUGGGGAUGGACUCGCGGCUUAUCAGCUUGUUGGUGGGGUAGUGGCUUACCAAGGCUUUGACGGGUAGCCGGCCUGAGAGGGUGACCGGCCACAUUGGGACUGAGAUACGGCCCAGACUCCUCCGGGAGGCAGCAGUGGGGAAUAUUGCACAAUGGGCGGAAGCAUGAUGCAGCAACGCCGCGUGCGGGAUGACGGCCUUCGGGUUGUAAACCGCUUUCGCCUGUGACGAAGCGUGAGUGACGGUAAUGGGUAAAGAAGCACCGGCUAACUACGUG
Molecule: ribosomal RNA, 468 nt
Filed under: uncultured bacterium
Lineage: Bacteria
Description: partial 16S ribosomal RNA
Rfam family: Bacterial small subunit ribosomal RNA
Source: RNAcentral